CAACCCUCAAGCCCUGCUUGGUGUUGGGGCCCUACGACCGACGUAGGACGUAGGCCCUGAAAGGAAGUGGCGGGCUCGCUGCAACUCCGAGCGUAGUAAUUCAUUAUCUCGCUAGGGAGGCUUGCGGCGCGCUCCGGCCGUUAAAGACCAUCUUUAACUCAA
RNAcentral lists this unclassified non-coding RNA (162 nucleotides) under uncultured Coniochaeta. RNAcentral's name for it is "sequence contains ITS2". The record is from RNAcentral. Lineage: Eukaryota; Fungi; Ascomycota; Sordariomycetes; Coniochaetales.